Long non-coding RNA from Tarenaya hassleriana, 1978 nucleotides. RefSeq lists it as uncharacterized. The record is from RefSeq and is a predicted model, not a curated record. Lineage: Eukaryota; Viridiplantae; Streptophyta; Magnoliopsida; Brassicales; Cleomaceae. The transcript is spliced from 3 exons.
UCUUGAUCAUGUAUGUCUUUAAGUCAGCUUGGGUAAGUCUAGUGUCAUCUAAGUCUGAUCAGAAGUCAAUUAGGUCUUUUUAGGCUUGGUUAAGUCUUAUUAGAAGUUUAAAGUGUAUGUAUUGAGUCUAUUGACAAAGUCUAGGUCUGAUCAGAUUCAGAAUUUGGUUGUAGACUUAGCUAUUAUCUAGUUGGCUAGAUAAGACUCCUCAUUACCUGCUUUAAGUCAUAGAGUCUGGUACUUUGACCGGUUAGAUCUGAAUAGUUGGGAUUUGGCUAAAACAGGUUGUUUAGGGUAGGGAUCAAUUAAGCCCGGAGCCCGAAACCCGUUCCGAAUCUGCCCGAAAAUAAUAAGGACAUGGGCCUAAAAAAUAUAGGCCAUGUCCCCAUUCACCAUUCUUUCUAUCCACCUUUGUUUAAUCUUUAUUUCUUUGUGUUUUCUUUAUUAUUUAACCCACAAACACAUCCAAAUCUAUAGAUAUCUUCAUGGUAUCAGAGUAUAAGAUCUAGAGGAUCUUGUGUUUUUCAUUCCGCUGUGAAAUCGAAACAUAUUCCCUCUCGGUUGUGGGUAUACCGAAGAGGAGCCUGCUCGUUUCAUUUUUCAGAAUUUUUUUUUCUCCCUUUUGGUCAUCCAUUCAAACCAAAAGAAGAGCUUUCUUCAAGUGAAUCGUUGGUCAUUCGUUCAAGCCACAAUUCACCAUAUUUUUCUUGUCUCUCUCGAUUUUUUCAUUUCAAAUCGAGAAGAAUUCCUUUGUCCUAUCCCUUUAUCUCCACUACGUGUGAGUAUUGCGAUAGCAAUUGGGAGUACGAAGAGGUUUAUGAUGAACCAGAAUACAGAGAGCAUUGGGAUGUCGAAGACGUCUUAGCCACAAUACCAAAGCCCCUACGAGAGACGUUGGUGCAAAACGGCAAUGCAAACAAUAUAGAGUUAAGUAUUUCUCUUCUUGAAGAAUUAUUUCGAACUAAUGAGUUUUUUGAAAUGGUACAAAAGGCACAGAAGGAAAGCAAAGCAAACCUCUCUAAAGAUACGGAGACAAUGGAUGGAGAAAUACAAACCAAGUAUACAAAUCAUGAGAAGGACCGAGACUUGGAUGGAACAAACUCGGAAAAAGAAGGAAAAGAGAUGGAUGAGAUGGUGAAUGACCCCAAAAUGGAGGCAAUGAACCCCGAAAAAGAGGCAUCACACUCAUCCAACAUCAUUCCUCAUCCGAGCAUAACAAAGAAUCCGAGCAUCUCCUUUAUAUGGAGAGACAAUCGAGUUUGUAAUUUCUUCUCUUCUCCCAUAUCUUUUGAUUUUUGUGUCCCAAAUGAUAUGUUUGGUUGUCUUAGUGUUAAUGAUCAGAAAAUCCAACAAAUAAUCAUGAAGCCUCACGGUGUCGAGAAGCUCACGAGUCACGAGUGAGGGAGAAUGGCAUGAUACACUUGUAUGCUUCUCUACCGAAAAGUAUACAUUCGAACACAACUUGUUGCCACUGUCUAUGAGUUUCAACAACUCUAGGCAUGAUAUCUUCAGGAGGCAAUCCUCUCACCUCUGGAAACUACUUGGGUUCAGAUAAGAGAUCAAAACGUUCAUCAAAUGUAAAGGCUGCAGUUAAGGACGGAAACUGGUACUUCUCGGAGGUUCGAUCGGCGGGUAUUCAGGUCGUCUUAACCAGGAUCAGCUUGGAUGGAGCUGGGCAAGAUAUGCUUGAGUUCUCAUCAAAAUCCACUUGGCACCUGAUUCGGACCAGAUCCCCACCAGCGCCAUGGUCCAAAUUGGUCUGGGCAAAGCUAACGACUCUGAGACUUAGCUUCUCCUUAUGUCAGGCUCUUUUACAACGGCUUCCGGCUAUGGAUCGGCAUGCAAACUACCUGUCCUUUAUGUCAAAGGAAAAAUGAAUCACUCUUAUUACUCUCAUUUAUCUCUCCUUUGUCGGAUGGAAUUGGGAAUGUGAAUAAUUCAUAAUUUACUGAUCUCAAAUGGCGGUGGUUUUAUAUAA